GACGAACGCUGGCGGCGUGCUUAACACAUGCAAGUCGAACGGAAAGGCCCUGCUUUUGUGGGGUGCUCGAGUGGCGAACGGGUGAGUAACACGUGAGUAACCUGCUCUAGACUUUGGGAUAACUUCAGGAAACUGGAGCUAAUAUCGGAUAGGAGCUCCUGCUGCAUGGUGGGGGUUGGAAAGUUUCGGCGGUCGGGGAUGGACUCGCGGCUUAUCAGCUUGCUGGUGGGGUAGUGGCAUACCAAGGCUUUGACGGGUAGCCGGCCUGAGAGGGUGACCGGCCACAUUGGGACUGAGGUAGGGCCCAGAGUCCUACGUGAGGCAGCAGUGGGAAAUAUUGCACAAUGGGCGGGAGCCUGAUGCAGCGGCGCCGCGUGCGGAAUGACGGCCUUCGGGUUGUAAACCGCUUUCGCCUGUGACGAAGCGUGAGUGACGGUAAUGGGUAAAGAAGCACCGGCUAACUACGUG
This 468-nucleotide ribosomal RNA is filed under the name uncultured bacterium. Its description in RNAcentral is "partial 16S ribosomal RNA". It matches the Rfam family "Bacterial small subunit ribosomal RNA", at positions 28 to 507 of the family's 1533-position model. The record is from RNAcentral.